CCUACGGGAGGCAGCAGUGAGGAAUAUUGGUCAAUGGGCGGAAGCCUGAACCAGCCAAGUAGCGUGCAGGAUGACGGCCCUACGGGUUGUAAACUGCUUUUAUACGGGAAUAACGCGCCUUACGUGUAGGGCUUUGCAUGUACCGUAUGAAUAAGGACUGGCUAAUUCCGUGCCAGCAGCCGCGGUAAUACGGAAGGUCCGGGCGUUAUCCGGAUUUAUUGGGUUUAAAGGGAGCGUAGGCCGGAUGGCAAGCGUGCUGGGAAAUGUUCGGGCUCAACCCGGGCCUUGCAGCGCGAACUGGCGUGCUUGAGUCCGCGGAAAGCAGGCGGAAUUCGUCGUGUAGCGGUGAAAUGCUUAGAUAUGACGAAGAACCCCGAUUGCGAAGGCAGCUUGCUGCAGCGGAACUGACGCUGAUGCUCGAAAGCGCGGGUAUCGAACAGGAUUAGAUACCCGGGUAGUC
Molecule: ribosomal RNA, 460 nt
Filed under: uncultured bacterium
Lineage: Bacteria
Description: partial 16S ribosomal RNA
Rfam family: Bacterial small subunit ribosomal RNA
Source: RNAcentral